RNAcentral lists this ribosomal RNA (604 nucleotides) under uncultured fungus. RNAcentral's name for it is "eukaryotic LSU rRNA". The stretch from base 80 to 233 matches the Rfam family "5.8S ribosomal RNA". Lineage: Eukaryota; Fungi. The record is from RNAcentral.
UCGUCUAUGAAUAUUUUUACAAACGCUCAAAGUAUGACAGAAUGUAUAUCAUAUUGCGUCUGAUAAACGUGACAAAUACAACUUUCAACAACGGAUCUCUUGGCUCUCGCAUCGAUGAAGAACGCAGCGAAAUGCGAUAAGUAAUGUGAAUUGCAGAAUUCAGUGAAUCAUCGAAUCUUUGAACGCACCUUGCGCUCCUUGGUAUUCCGAGGAGCAUGCCUGUUUGAGUGUCAUGAAAUUCUCAACUGCCCCAGGCUUUGUGGCCUGCGGGUGAAGUUGGACUUGGAGGUAUGCUGGCGCAUGAAUGGGCUUUUGUGCCCCGUCUCGCUUGUUGGCUCCUCUCGAAUGCAUGAGCUUUCCAAUCCUUGGCAAAGUAUCGUCGAUGUGAUAAUUGUCUACGUCGCCUGAGAAAGCCGAAAAGGGGAAAUCUUUGAUCACGCUGGGGUGACCUGCGUCUGACAAAUUCGACCUCAAAUCAGGUAGGACUACCCGCUGAACUUAAGCAUAUCAAUAAGCGGAGGAAAAGAAACUAACAAGGAUUCCCCUAGUAACUGCGAGUGAAGCGGGAAAAGCUCAAAUUUAAAAUCUGGCGGCCUCCGGUCGU